Molecule: ribosomal RNA, 492 nt
Filed under: uncultured bacterium
Lineage: Bacteria
Description: partial 16S ribosomal RNA
Rfam family: Bacterial small subunit ribosomal RNA
Source: RNAcentral
AGUGAACGCUGGCGGUAGGCCUAACACAUGCAAGUCGAACGGCAGCACAGUAAGAGCUUGCUCUUACGGGUGGCGAGUGGCGGACGGGUGAGGAAUACAUCGGAAUCUACUUUUUCGUGGGGGAUAACGUAGGGAAACUUACGCUAAUACCGCAUACGACCUACGGGUGAAAGCAGGGGAUCUUCGGACCUUGCGCGAUUGAAUGAGCCGAUGUCGGAUUAGCUAGUUGGCGGGGUAAAGGCCCACCAAGGCAACGAUCCGUAGCUGGUCUGAGAGGAUGAUCAGCCACACUGGAACUGAGACACGGUCCAGACUCCUACGGGAGGCAGCAGUGGGGAAUAUUGGACAAUGGGCGCAAGCCUGAUCCAGCCAUACCGCGUGGGUGAAGAAGGCCUUCGGGUUGUAAAGCCCUUUUGUUGGGAAAGAAAAGCAGCAGGUUAAUACCCCGCUGUUCUGACGGUACCCAAAGAACAAGCACCGGCUAACUUCGUG